AAGGGGCUGGUUAAAUUAAUAACAUAAGUUUGUCAAGCUUAGGUUGCCUAUUAGGCGCCCCUUU
RNAcentral lists this transfer RNA (64 nucleotides) under Mutela dubia. Its description in RNAcentral is "tRNA-Asp". Lineage: Eukaryota; Metazoa; Mollusca; Bivalvia; Unionida; Mutelidae. The record is from RNAcentral.